Oryza sativa Japonica Group (Japanese rice) is the source of this 2008-nucleotide non-coding RNA. NCBI's taxonomy places the organism in Eukaryota, Viridiplantae, Streptophyta, Magnoliopsida, Poales, Poaceae. The record is from RefSeq and is a predicted model, not a curated record.
AGCAGCUCCGGUGCUUCCUCCAUCGAUAAUGGUGGGGACGACGACGACGGUUGGCUGGGUAGUCGAGAUGUUGAGCUCCAGGUUCACGCUCUGCUCCUUGGGCCUGAUCCAGCUUUUCUUCAAGGUCUUCCUGUUCAGGUCAAGGCACUGCUCCCAGUCGAGGGGCAGGGGGUCAUUGAGCUGGAGCUCCAGGUUGGCGUGCGACACGGGCUCCUCCCAGGUGAAGUGCUUCCUCUUCUUCCUGGAGCUGCCGUCUGACUCCGACGAUGAGCUCUUGGUGCUCUUGGUGGUGGAGGAGACGAAGCCUGGCGCCGGCCACGUCGGCCCUAGUGAGAGCUCCGGCUGCAGCUCCAUCCUCUUCACACUCAGGCUGAUCAUGAGUUAAUGGAGCACCAUCAAGUGUUUUGACAGUUUUCUGGAGCAGGAUCUUUUGCAAACGAUGUGUGUAAAUUGGUUGUGACCAGCAAAAACUUGUGCUUCUCCAUGGAAGUCAUUGCAUACCUGUAAGAACUGUUGGUUGCUCGUUGUGAAGAUUAGAGGGAUGAAUUAGUACAACAGCCAGACCUAUGUGCCUACCUACAUUUAUAAUUUGAAGACCAUACCGAUAUAGACAAUAAAUUGAGGAUGAACCCAUGAGGGUUUCUGUUGUUUGCAAUGAUGAUGUCAAGUAGAUCAAGAGGGGAUCCUUGAGACCGGCAGCAAGAAGGAAGCUGGGGACUCGCGGGUUGAUGGGAGAUUCUACUAAAUAUAAUUCAAUUGAUCUGGUUCCAUAAGCUGAGCGAGACGAAGCCCACAUGUUAGUGACGACAAACAUGAUAGACCCACCUGUCAGUGGCAGUGUGGCACCACGAUGGGCUUCAACAGCGACAGGUGAAGUAUAUAUCUAAUUAUCUACUCCCUACGUCCCAUAAAAAACUAAUCUAGUACUGGAUGUGAUAUAUCCCACUAUGAAUCUGGUACUAGGAUAUGUCACAUUCAGUCCUAAUUCGUUUUUUUGACAGAGGAAGUACUACCAGCUACAUCGAAAUCAGCUUCCGAUGUCGUUAUCUAUUUUCCGAAGAGUGUUUUUGCUUGCAGACCAGACGAUGAUGAUAAAAGAUGCUCGCAUGUGUGCGUAAAUUAAUAUGGUCCAUGCCGGGCGGCCCCUGCGUGUGUGAUGCGGUGCGGUGUGUUGCACAAAUUGAAGGAGCUCGCCUAUGUUGUUGGGUGGCGAUUGGCGUUGGCCCCCCCAUUCCGAGGCAGUGAAUGGAUGGACGGACAGGCAGUACUUUGGCCCCCUAUUUAUGUGAUGUGAGCGACUUCUACUUUGACAGGACGUUCGCAUGUGGUUUUCCUGCCAUGGAACCUUCUCAAGCCUGCCAUGGAUUUCAUCGUCCACUGCAUGGUGCCUUUCGUCGCACUUCUCUUGCUAACACAACCUUGAUGAUCUUCAAGUGCAAACUGCAAUCAGAUCGAUCAAUAUCUGUUUUUGCUCAAAUUAAGUACCAUUCAAAACUGUUCAGAAUGCAGAGGUUGGUCUGUCUGUCUGUCUGUCUCUUGUGAAAAGAAUAUGAAUCAGCAGUGGUGGAGGUGAGCUCAGAUUGGAAGUGGCCAAAUACUAUGCAUGAAUUCGGCAACUGGUAAAUUUUCUUGUUCUUUCCCCUCCUUUCCCUAUUCAUCUCCUUCGUUUUUGACACGCGCUCUUUCCAAACUUCUAAAUAGUGUUUUUUAUAAAAGAAAUUUCUAAACGAAAGUUGCUUUAAAAAUCAUAUUAAUUUAUUUUUCAAAAAAUAGUUAAUACAUAAUGAAUUUAUGUGCUAAUGAGUCACUUUGUUUUGCGUGCGUGAGGGAUUAUUUCCUAACACCAACAAAAGAACACAGUCUAAGUGUUGUUGCUUAGGGCAAGUUUUAUAGUAGAGAUGAUUACCACAUUUAAUUUCGUGCAUGACAUACACCAUUAAAUUAAGAUGUGUAAUAAGUUACAUCUACUAUACAAUUUUCAAUAUCUCUAACACUCACAUCCUGUUUA